RNAcentral lists this ribosomal RNA (1372 nucleotides) under uncultured bacterium. RNAcentral describes it as "bacterial SSU rRNA". It matches the Rfam family "Bacterial small subunit ribosomal RNA", at positions 28 to 1381 of the family's 1533-position model. The record is from RNAcentral.
GAUGAACGCUGGCGGCGUGCCUAAUACAUGCAAGUCGAGCGAACGGACGAGAAGCUUGCUUCUCUGAUGUUAGCGGCGGACGGGUGAGUAACACGUGGAUAACCUACCUAUAAGACUGGGAUAACUUCGGGAAACCGGAGCUAAUACCGGAUGAUAUUUUGAACCGCAUGGUUCAAAAGUGAAAGACGGUCUUGCUGUCACUUAUAGAUGGAUCCGCGCUGCAUUAGCUAGUUGGUAAGGUAACGGCUUACCAAGGCAACGAUGCAUAGCCGACCUGAGAGGGUGAUCGGCCACACUGGAACUGAGACACGGUCCAGACUCCUACGGGAGGCAGCAGUAGGGAAUCUUCCGCAAUGGGCGAAAGCCUGACGGAGCAACGCCGCGUGAGUGAUGAAGGUCUUCGGAUCGUAAAACUCUGUUAUUAGGGAAGAACAUAUGUGUAAGUAACUGUGCACAUCUUGACGGUACCUAAUCAGAAAGCCACGGCUAACUACGUGCCAGCAGCCGCGGUAAUACGUAGGUGGCAAGCGUUAUCCGGAAUUAUUGGGCGUAAAGCGCGCGUAGGCGGUUUUUUAAGUCUGAUGUGAAAGCCCACGGCUCAACCGUGGAGGGUCAUUGGAAACUGGAAAACUUGAGUGCAGAAGAGGAAAGUGGAAUUCCAUGUGUAGCGGUGAAAUGCGCAGAGAUAUGGAGGAACACCAGUGGCGAAGGCGACUUUCUGGUCUGUAACUGACGCUGAUGUGCGAAAGCGUGGGGAUCAAACAGGAUUAGAUACCCUGGUAGUCCACGCCGUAAACGAUGAGUGCUAAGUGUUAGGGGGUUUCCGCCCCUUAGUGCUGCAGCUAACGCAUUAAGCACUCCGCCUGGGGAGUACGACCGCAAGGUUGAAACUCAAAGGGAUUGACGGGGACCCGCACAAGCGGUGGAGCAUGUGGUUUAAUUCGAAGCAACGCGAAGAACCUUACCAAAUCUUGACAUCCUUUGACAACUCUAGAGAUAGAGCCUUCCCCUUCGGGGGACAAAGUGACAGGUGGCGCAUGGUUGUCGUCAGCUCGUGUCGUGAGAUGUUGGGUUAAGUCCCGCAACGAGCGCAACCCUUAAGCUUAGUUGCCAUCAUUAAGUUGGGCACUCUAAGUUGACUGCCGGUGACAAACCGGAGGAAGGUGGGGAUGACGUCAAAUCAUCAUGCCCCUUAUGAUUUGGGCUACACACGUGCUACAAUGGACAAUACAAAGGGCAGCGAAACCGCGAGGUCAAGCAAAUCCCAUAAAGUUGUUCUCAGUUCGGAUUGUAGUCUGCAACUCGACUACAUGAAGCUGGAAUCGCUAGUAAUCGUAGAUCAGCAUGCUACGGUGAAUACGUUCCCGGGUCU